Non-coding RNA from Onthophagus taurus, 1330 nucleotides. NCBI's taxonomy places the organism in Eukaryota, Metazoa, Arthropoda, Insecta, Coleoptera, Scarabaeidae. The record is from RefSeq and is a predicted model, not a curated record.
GUUUAAAGUUGUUUUUAUUAUUAAAAUCGUUUAACGUGUAAUAAUGUUAAUACUAAUAACAUUAUUUAAGUGAUAACACGUAUUUCAUAGUAAAAAUUUGAUUUCUUCUAGUGAAAUUGUAGGAAAGAUGUAGAAUUAUCUAUGAGGUUAUCUAGAAGGAGCCAAAGGAUAAUUAUAGAGGAAAAGCAACAAGAAACGUGGUGAAAAGGAGCUCUUUCUAGAAACUUUGAAGCUGUGCAUUGAAUAAUACUCAAAAACUAUCUCGGAAACUACUUAACUGAAACUGUAGGAAAGAUGUAUAAUUAUCUAGAUUCAUCACUAAUUAUGAGGUUAUCUAGAAGGAGCCAAAGGAUAUUAAUAGAGGAAAAGUAACAAAAAACGUGGUGAAAAGGAGCUCUCUCUAGAAACUUUGAAGCUGUGCAUUGAAUAAUACCUAAAAACUAUCUCGGAAACUACUUAACGGAAACAGUACAAAGGAUGGACAAUUAUUUAGAUUCACCACUAAUUGUGAGGUUAUCUAGGAGGAGCCAAAGCCAAAGAAUAUUAAUAGAUGAAAUGUCAUGAAGAGGAGCUAGCUCUAGAAAUGUUGAAGCUGUGCAUUGAAUUCUAAAUAAUACCCAAAAACUAUCCUGAAAACUACUUAAUGCCUAUCUGAAAGCGAAUCUGUGGAAGAUCUAACAUUUUCUUGGAAGUGGUUGCUUAUUCUUAUGGCUAAAACAAGAGCUGUAGCUCUUAUGCUACAUCUAGGCAAAUGAAAUAAUUCUUAAAAAACAAUGUUAAGAGUCUUUAGACUCUUAGAGUCUCUUAGAGUCUUUUAGAUUUAUUAUUGCAUGUUAUUAUUUAUUAAAAAAAAUAUCGCGAUGUGUGUUAGUAUAAUAAUAAGCCAGCAUAGUAAUCUAUGGUGGUAACUUUCCAGAAAAUUGCUGAAUAUUCUUGACAAUAGUGGUUUGGGUUGCCUACACCUCAAUUAAUUAAUUUAUUUUUUUUCUCAAAUUACAUCUUUUUAAAAAUAUUUAACAAAAACCCAUCAAUAAAAAAGCACCUACUCAUCCACAAGUCAUAAUCAAUAUAAAUACUAUUUUUAUUGAUAAGGCCCAAAGAGCUUCAGUCAAUUAAUAAGAUAAUUUUUCUCUUUGGUUAAAGAAAUUAUUAAUAAUGAUAUAGACGUCGAUAAUUCUUCAUGAGUAUAUCGUCAUCAGGAUCAUUUCCUCUAAAGAAAUGGAUUUCUUUUCGUUUUUGUGUCCAAAUUUAUGCAUGCAUAUCAUUAUAUAAAAAUAAACUUGUAAUUAUUAUAUUUUGACUAUAAAAAAUAAAUAAAAAAAAGAAAAUA